AGCUAUGUUUCUGUGCAGCUUCCUCCCAUGGUGUGGCACCGCCCCAAGCUCAGCGUCUGACUGUAGAACCGAGGAAGAGCAGUUGCUGCCUCAGGAUCUCUCGUCUCCCUACAGCCCCAUGGAGCUCCACAAAGCUGGUGCUGCUCUUCCUAUUACUAUGAACUUUCUCCACUUCAACGGUGCUGCUCUUCCGAUUACAAUGAACUUUCUCCACUUCAACGGUGUCCAGCCUCUUUCCCCAGGUAGAAAGACCGAGAUUCAGUAGACUGACUUUCAUUCGAAUUUUACAACUGCAAAUGUUAAUCAUUCUGAUGUCUGAUUGAACCUGUUGUUAAUUUAUUUGAAUCCCACCACUGCUAAGGACCCUUUUUGUCUCUCUGCUGUUGCUUUUCACCAUUGGCAAUUCUAUUCUGUACACACUGGUCAUCAGAUAUGAAAGGAAUGAACCAGCACUCCAUUGACAAUUUAUAUUGGUCUUUCAGAGGACGUAAAGGACAUUUUAGAUAAGGACUGAAGUGUUAGAAGCUGUGCAGGAGCUGUAGCUUUUCCGAGAGCUGAUUUCUGAAGAGAGGACUAGCCGACAAACUUACAGUAUUCAGUGUUGGCCAGAUUCUGAGUUAUAUGCAGUUCCAACUACUGUACGAACAAAUCUGUUGUUUUUUUUUAGCAAACUGCUGGUGUUGGGGCCUGCAUACCCAACUUAGAGCAAUUAUGGCAAUAUCUCCCUCAUCUCCACCUAUUACUGAGUGGGUGUAAAAGGAGGCAAUGGUUUUUGAAACAAAACAAAUAAAACAAAAAAAUUCUGUCUUUACCACCUACUAUAGCAAUAAAAAAUGAAAUAUGCCCAACCUCCGGUUUACCAAUAUUGUACACAGAAAGACAUUUGCUAUUGGUGCUAAAAAUAAUAUACUGCAAAUCUGUGUGUAUUGUACUGUAUGUAGCCAAUAAAACAACAGGGAUUUGGUCAUAUUUCGAUCAAAACA
Long non-coding RNA from Pseudophryne corroboree (corroboree frog), 983 nucleotides. RefSeq lists it as uncharacterized. NCBI's taxonomy places the organism in Eukaryota, Metazoa, Chordata, Amphibia, Anura, Myobatrachidae. The transcript has 6 exons. The record is from RefSeq and is a predicted model, not a curated record.